Molecule: unclassified non-coding RNA, 338 nt
Filed under: uncultured soil eukaryote
Lineage: Eukaryota
Description: sequence contains 5.8S rRNA gene, ITS2, 28S rRNA gene
Source: RNAcentral
AACGCAUAUUGCGCUCGAGCCCUCGGGCAAGAGCAUGUCUGCCUCAGCGUCGGUUUACACCCUCACCCCUCCCAACUUUGUUUGGGCGUGCCGGCUUCUCUAGCUGGCCAUAGGAGUGGAUCUGGCUUCCCCAAUCUGCCAUCUGGCGGGUUGGGCUAGCUGAAGUGCAGAGGCUUAAGCAAGGACCCGUUAUGGGCUUCAACUGGAUAGGUAGCACCGGCUUCUGCCGACUACACGAAGUUGUGGCUUGUGGAUCUUGCUAGGGGCCAAGCAGGAACGUGCCUUUGGCAUGUCUAAACUUUCGACUGAGCUCAGGCAAGGCUACCCGCUGAACUUAA